ACCUCAAAGACUGACACUGUGAAUAGUCGCCUGACUCUGUGGUGAAGAUACUGCAAGCCAGCAGCAGGCUGCCAGUGUCCUGCUCCCCUUCCCCAGAGCAUAGCGAUGUUCUACGUCUGAGAGAGGUCAGUGGCAUGCAGGUGGGAUGGCGGGACGCACAUUGCCUUCCUUCCACACCUGGCUUGCAGAGCCCUGGACUGUACCCUCCAGGCUCUCUCAUCUUUCACCUGCCACUGCCCCAGCUGAACUUUUGGGAAUCCACGUGUGCAAAAUGGCAGAGCCUCUCAAAUGUGGAUCCCAAAAUGACUGUGUGGAACAACGCUCCCAAACCGCCUGCAUUGUUCUUCCUAGAAGCCAGAAGUACAAGUUCAUCAGGAAAUGCAUUCUUGUUCGUAGCGGUGGAGCACAGCUUUGGGGUCUUUGUGUGGUUGGUUGAUUUGGUUUUUGGUUUUUUUUUUUUUAUUACAUCAGCUAGGACCUUAAGAGCAGUUUCUGGUUUACCGUCCUGUGUUCAAAUCCCCAGGAAAUAGCUAGAGCUCAGCACAUUCUCUGCGAGCAAAUGCAAGCGCACGGGUCACUACUGCACGAAGAAGCAGAUGGCCUGAAAGAAUACGUGGUGUUCACAAAAGUCAGGCAGAGCAGAGCAGGGGUUAAAAGCUGUGUAGGUGAGCCUGGGUUGAGUGCUGCCUUCUCUCCUGUGACUCCGUGGCCAGGCUUUCCUUACAUGAAAGGAGAAACGCAGAGUGAUUUUGGGUUCUUGGUGGACAGACCCAUGAAGAUAACAGAACACUAGGGCAGUGUCUCAGAGAAGAUGGCACAGUCAUUAACACGAGAUGACAAGUUGUAAGGGAGAGGACUCUGGGUAGCCACACACAACAUAAGACGUGCUUUUACUGCAGUGGCAGGGUAAGGACAAGCUCACUGUAGGAAUGCCCUCUGCCCGCUGAGGGGAACUGUCAGUGUCCAUGGUCAGUAGCAAACCCUUCCCCACGGGUGGGCCCCUGGGCUCUGCGCAGCCCCAUGUGACCUUGCUGGAGACCUCCUUCUUCAAAGUGCAAAGGACUUCCAGGAUGGCUAGUGAACUACCCUGCCUCCAAACCUCUGCUGUGCUCCCUCCACAUUGUCCCUCUGCUCACUGCUCCCCUAUGUCCCUACUGUGUGGUCCUCCACACUUUCCCUCUGCUCACUGCUCCCCUGUGUUCCUACUGUGUGCUCCCUCCACACUGUCCCUCUGCUCACUGCUCCCCUGUGUUCCUACUGUGUGCUCCUCCACACUGUCUCUCUGCUCACUGCUUCCCUAUGUCCCUACUGUGUGCUCCCUCCACACUGUCCCUCUGCUCACUGCUCCCCUAUGUCCCUACUGUGUGCUCCUCCACACUGUCUCUCUGCUCACUGCUCGCCUGUGUCCCUACUGUGUGCUCCCUCCACACUUUCCCUCUGCUCACUGCUCCCCUGUGUUCCUACUGUGUGCUCCCUCCACACUGUCCCUCUGCUCACUGCUCCCCUGUGUUCCUACUGUGUGCUCCUCCACACUGUCUCUCUGCUCACUGCUUCCCUAUGUCCCUACUGUGUGCUCCCUCCACACUGUCCCUCUGCUCACUGCUCCCCUAUGUCCCUACUGUGUGCUCCUCCACACUGUCUCUCUGCU
This 1648-nucleotide long non-coding RNA is filed under the name Mus musculus (house mouse). Its description in RNAcentral is "long non-coding RNA chr9:118191375-118193023". Lineage: Eukaryota; Metazoa; Chordata; Mammalia; Rodentia; Muridae. The record is from RNAcentral.